GAUGAACGCUGGCGGCGUGCCUAAUACAUGCAAGUCGAGCGAACAGAUGAGGAGCUUGCUCCUCUGACGUUAGCGGCGGACGGGUGAGUAACACGUGGAUAACCUACCUAUAAGACUGGGAUAACUUCGGGAAACCGGAGCUAAUACCGGAUAAUAUAUUGAACCGCAUGGUUCAAUAGUGAAAGACGGUUUUGCUGUCACUUAUCGAUGGAUCCGCGCCGCAUUAGCUAGUUGGUAAGGUAACGGCUUACCAAGGCAACGAUGCGUAGCCGACCUGAGAGGGUGAUCGGCCACACUGGAACUGAGAAACGGUCAAGACUCCUACGGGAGGCAGCAGUAGGGAAUCUGCCGCAAUGGGCGAAAGCCUGACGGAGCAACGCCGCGUGAGUGAUGAAGGUCUUCGGAUCGUAAAACUCUGUUAUUAGGGAAGAACAAAUGUGUAAGUAACUACGCACGUCUUGACGGUACCUAAUCAGAAAGCCACGGCUAACUACGUG
Molecule: ribosomal RNA, 497 nt
Filed under: uncultured bacterium
Lineage: Bacteria
Description: partial 16S ribosomal RNA
Rfam family: Bacterial small subunit ribosomal RNA
Source: RNAcentral